RNAcentral lists this long non-coding RNA (2862 nucleotides) under Homo sapiens (human). Its description in RNAcentral is "uncharacterized LOC121725015, transcript variant 2 (LOC121725015)". Lineage: Eukaryota; Metazoa; Chordata; Mammalia; Primates; Hominidae. The record is from RNAcentral.
ACGGGGCGCUCGGGCCGCGGGGCAGGGGGCGCGGGGUGCCUCCUCGGCCUCGGCUCUCCCCGCCCCGGGGCGCCCCGAGACCGCCGCCUGCCUCCGCGGGCAGCUUUGUUCUUCUUUCCUCCAACUACCUGUCUGAGCCGCGGGCCCCAGAGGCCCCAAAGAGAGGCCCGGAGGGUCUCCCCAGCAGCAUCCGAGGGGCGCUCUCGGGGAGCUAGGGGCCAGAGUCCGCGGUCCCUCCGUGCCUGCCUCCCUCCCCUCGUGCCUCGGUCUUUUGUUGCCUCUACUCCUCGGCACGGCGCAGCCUGGGCUCUCUUCCCCCUCCCGCUUGGGAGUUUGCAGUGUGGACGCUCGGCAAGCACACUCCAGAUAACAGCACUAUGGGAAGGAGGAAGAAUUUAAUGAAAGCUUGUACCUGCUGGCUGAAACUAAGCAGCCUAUUUAUAAACUGCUCUGAAAUGCCAGGGAGCAGGUAACUCCCAAAUGAAAAAGCAAGCAGGUCUCUCCCACCAUCAGUGGGAUGGCUGAGCUGUCUGUGGUGCCUUUGCAUCUUGCUGCUUCGCUGACCCUGAAGGUCUGCCCCAGCCUCAGGCGACCAAGCCUACAGCGACCUCAAGGAGCAGCUGCCUCAUCAGUGCUUGUAGGAGGCUCAGGACGGAGAGGGGUCUGAUGCCCCCAUUUUGUUCCCUUCUUUUGUCUUCUUUUGACUUCCCUAGGGAAGGGAAAAUGUGCUAUGAAGUUAAAAGAGGAAUGAAGGAAAAAGAGAGAAUGGAGGGUCUUCUAAAAUGUGUUUAUUUCUCAAAAGCCACAUAGUGCUUCACAAAUUCACAUUAAUCUAACACUUUUGCACUGUCCCCUCCCUCACUCCAGCCCCAACCAUGGGGCGAAGCCCAGCAGUGUGGGAAUGUACUCGCAAACCCCACACAGACCCGUGGCCACGUGUGGAUGCACUCAACAGGAGCCAGCUAUAUUUCAGUUCUUGCUACUUGUAUCUGUCUUUAGCAUCCUCCUACAACGAGCAACACAGAUAAAUAAAUCCCCAAACCUCACCUUGGCACUGGUUCCAGCUCCUCCCCUCUCCACCUUUAGCAGCCAUUAUCAUAAAUCACAUUCUUUGAUAUAUCUUUCUCAAUGUCUCCCUCGCUCAGAUUGCCUUUUAGUAAAAGUUCAUAAAACAAAACAGAAUUUACUAAAAAUAGGUUAGUGGAAAGGUGAGCAAUACAACUUCUGAAAAAAAAAUUAAACCAGUGUAUGAUUUGGGGAUUUAGUGAAGUGAACUGAUAAACUGGGACAUUCAAAUCUAUUAUGCCAAUAUUUUCUCUGGCAAGAGAUUGCUUGCUGUCUUUGCAUGUAGUUUCAUUUCAGGACUUAAUUCCCUGUUUAAAAAAAAAAACUGGAAGAAAAUUUUGCAUUAGUUGUAUUUUACUUAGAUCCAGAGACGAAGCUCUGCUAAUGCAUAUUACAAUAUAUAAUUAAGCAUAAAUACAUUAAAAUAUUAAAACACUGUAAGUUAUUAGAAAUAAUGAAAUUUCUUGCAUAAAGUCAUUGCAUGAAUUACUUAGGUGCUUGUCAGAUCCCUAAUCAGAAAGAGCUGCCAGAGAUGGCAGAGACUUCACUUGCCAAGACAACGUAGUCCAUCAGCAAAUCAGUGGACUUGGGAAGGAGGUGGUUUUCCAUUUAAGCUGCAGCAUCACAGAAAGUUACCCUCUAAAGUCAUUCUUAGAUGAAUACUUCUAUGUCAUACACAGCUAAAUUCCAACAGUCAAAACAAUUAUUCUAAGCUAAUUAAAAUACAAAUAAAAUUUUAGGCUAUGGGAUAACAGAUCAUGAGAUAAAAACAAUUCUACGAUUGUUGGAGGGGCCCUGUAUGAUAUAUUCAGAUCUUGCUCAUCUCUUCCAAAUCUUUGUUUUUUUAAAUAGAAAAUGUAAAUUAUAUUUAGCUUAAGUCUAUGUUUGAAUUUAAAUCACUAAAAAAAUCUACUUUCUAUAAAGCAUUUGGAGCAAUCUUGCAUAUAAUACUCAUUUGCUUAGCUAACUCUUUUUUUCUGUAGAUAAGUAAGGUAAAUGUUAGGCCACUAGACAAAAUUAUCAUACAUCUUCAAUCAUCAAUGUCCAGAGUAAUGAGUCAAUAUAUGUAUGUACGUAUGUAUAUGCAUUUAAAAAAAUCACUCUUUUGACACAUUUCACUUUUCUUUGUAAGUAAUAUAGGUGGGCUAGAUCAGGGGUUGUCAAGUCAGAUUAGAAUCAUCUGAGGAGAUGUGGGCAUCUGGCGAUGCCCAUACCAAUUAAAAGAGUUUCUAGGGGUGUGGAUGGAAAGUGGGAACUGGUAGUUUUACAAGGUCCCUGUCACCAGGGUUGAGACACCAUAGCUUAGAGUCCUGUAACUUGUCCUUACCACCAGUUCAUUCUCUUCUCUCCUUCUGUGAGGAGCGCUUCUAUACUAAGACCCUGAAGGUAACUAGAAAGAGACAAACUCCACCAAGUCAUCCAGUGGUGCACCUUUGAGGACUUCCACUACUCGCCUAGGUUCUAUGAGGCCAGUAUGGAGACAGAGAGGUGGGGGCCUGUGGGGAACUGGAGGCUACAGGCCCCACUUCUAGGAGAUCUCCCAGCUCCAGCCCACUGUGCCAUCAGGAAUGUGGGCCCAUGGCUGCCUGGCUUUCAAGAGAAGCUAGAAAUCUGCUUUCUAUGUGAAAACCUCUUGAUUUUUAAAUGCUUGCAAUGAAUUAAAAAUUUAUCAAAACUGUGUUGUCCAAACAAUCAUGUAUGUGACCAAACAUGGCCUACAAAAUGCUAAUUUACUACCUCUGAACUAGCACAAUAUCCUGAAAAAAGGCAUAAAUAAAAAAAUAUUGGCAGAAUGCA